Molecule: non-coding RNA, 522 nt
Filed under: Microascus cinereus
Lineage: Eukaryota; Fungi; Ascomycota; Sordariomycetes; Microascales; Microascaceae
Also listed under: 1 other name
Description: eukaryotic LSU rRNA
Rfam family: Eukaryotic large subunit ribosomal RNA
Source: RNAcentral
GCGGAGGAAAAGAAACCAACAGGGAUUGCCCCAGUAACGGCGAGUGAAGCGGCAACAGCUCAAAUUUGAAAUCUGGUCCCCCCGCGGGGCCCGAGUUGUAAUUUGAAGAGGAUGCUUCUGGCAAGGUGCCGUCCGAGUUCCCUGGAACGGGACGCCGCAGAGGGUGAGAGCCCCGUACGGUCGGACGCCGAGCCUCUGUGAAGCUCCUUCGACGAGUCGAGUAGUUUGGGAAUGCUGCUCAAAAUGGGAGGUAAACCCCUUCUAAAGCUAAAUACCGGCCAGAGACCGAUAGCGCACAAGUAGAGUGAUCGAAAGAUGAAAAGCACUUUGAAAAGAGAGUUAAAAAGCACGUGAAAUUGUUGAAAGGGAAGCGCUUGCGACCAGACUCGCGCCCGUCGGAUCAGCCGUCGCUCGUCGGCGGCGCACUCCGGCGGGCUCGGGCCAGCAUCAGUUCGCCUCGGGGGGAGAAAGGCGGCGGGAAUGUGGCUCUACGGAGUGUUAUAGCCCGCCGCGUAAUACCCC